GUUGUUUGUUUAUUUAUUGCUAGGCUACUGCUCUGCCUGUGCCGGGCAGGGAGCUGAUAAGCGCGAGGGCUGCUCCGAAGGGAGGUGUAGGAGGAGCAGGGCCUCGGGCUGCCUCAUAUCAACCCGUCCUCCGAGCAUCCCACCCGCACACCGGGUGCCCCCCGAGAGGUUCGUCUGCUGGGCUACGUGCUGGAGGAGCUGCUGUCCGAGGAGCUGGCGUGCUCUUCCCUCAGUAUCUCAGGAUCACAGAAUCACAGAAUCGUCUAGGUUGGAAGAGACCUCCAAGGAUUCCAAUACCUGCUUGUCUUGCAAUACAACUGUUGCUAAUUCCAGCUAUGAAGAGAUGACUAGAGAUCUUGGGUCUGUCCUGGCUCGGUGCCUCUUAUUGAUUCCUGUUUGGAUUAAAGCCAGGAACGGAGCUCAGCAUUCCUGAUCAUCGACCUCCUGUUGCUGGUUGUGCAGCAUCCUAGCAAAAUGCGUGCGGAAUCGUGCUCCAGGUGUGAAUCGUCAGCGAGGCUCAGGCUCAUCCUGCGGUUCCAGACUGGUGAACUGUGCUGAG
This is a long non-coding RNA of Cygnus atratus (black swan), 559 nucleotides long. RefSeq lists it as uncharacterized. Lineage: Eukaryota; Metazoa; Chordata; Aves; Anseriformes; Anatidae. The record is from RefSeq and is a predicted model, not a curated record. The transcript is spliced from 3 exons.